This 245-nucleotide ribosomal RNA is filed under the name uncultured archaeon. Its description in RNAcentral is "partial 16S ribosomal RNA". It matches the Rfam family "Archaeal small subunit ribosomal RNA", at positions 474 to 718 of the family's 1478-position model. The record is from RNAcentral.
UACCCGGAGCCCAAGUGAUGGCCAGAUUUAUUGGGUCUAAAGCGUCCGUAGCCGGUUCAUAAAGUCCUUAGUGAAAUCUUAUAGUCAACUAUAAGGCGAGCUUUGGAUACUCAUGUGACUUGAGACCGGGAGAGGGUUGGGGUACUUUCAGGGUAGGGGUAAAAUCCUGUAAUCCUAAGAGGACCACCUGUGGCGAAGGCGCCAACCUGGAACGGGUCUGACGGUGAGGGACGAAAGCUGAGGGA